This 462-nucleotide ribosomal RNA is filed under the name uncultured bacterium. RNAcentral's name for it is "partial 16S ribosomal RNA". It matches the Rfam family "Bacterial small subunit ribosomal RNA", at positions 28 to 507 of the family's 1533-position model. The record is from RNAcentral.
GACGAACGCUGGCGGCGUGCUUAACACAUGCAAGUCGAACGGAAAGGCCCUUCGGGGUACUCGAGUGGCGAACGGGUGAGUAACACGUGGGUGAUCUGCUCUGCACUUUGGGAUAAGCCUGGGCAACUGGGUCUAAUACCGAAUAGGACCACGCGCUUCAUGGUGUGUGGUGGAAAGCUUUUGCGGUGUGGGAUGGGCCCGCGGCCUAUCAGCUUGUCGGUGGGGUAAUGGCCUACCAAGGCGACGACGGGUAGCCGGCCUGAGAGGGUGACCGGCCACACUGGGACUGAGAUACGGCCCAGACUCCUACGGGAGGCAGCAGUGGGGAAUAUUGCACAAUGGGCGGAAGCCUGAUGCAGCGACGCCGCGUGAGGGAUAACGGCCUUCGGGUUGUAAACCUCUUUCAUUAGGGACGAAGCGCAAGUGACGGUACCUAUAGAAGAAGCACCGGCCAACUACGUG